RNAcentral lists this ribosomal RNA (253 nucleotides) under uncultured bacterium. RNAcentral's name for it is "partial 16S ribosomal RNA". It matches the Rfam family "Bacterial small subunit ribosomal RNA", at positions 524 to 776 of the family's 1533-position model. The record is from RNAcentral.
UACAGAGGGUGCAAGCGUUGUUCGGAAUUACUGGGCGUAAAGCGCGUGUAGGCGGCGUGGUAAGUCGGAUGUGAAAUCCUUCGGUUCAACCGAAGAAGUGCAUUCGAUACUGCCUCGCUUGAGUAUCGGAGGGGAUGGCGGAAUUCCCGGUGUAGAGGUGAAAUUCGUAGAUAUCGGGAGGAACACCUGUGGCGAAGGCGGCCAUCUGGACGAAUACUGACGCUGAGGAGCGAAAGCGUGGGUAGCAAACAGG